GGCACCAUGGCUUAGUUGGCUGAAGCAGCUGCUUUGUAAGCAGAAGAUCCUGGGUUCAACUCCCAGUGGUGCCU
Pelodiscus sinensis (Chinese soft-shelled turtle) is the source of this 74-nucleotide transfer RNA. It matches the Rfam family "tRNA". From Rfam's summary of the family: Transfer RNA (tRNA) molecules are approximately 80 nucleotides in length. Their secondary structure includes four short double-helical elements and three loops (D, anti-codon, and T loops). NCBI's taxonomy places the organism in Eukaryota, Metazoa, Chordata, Testudines, Trionychidae. The record is from Rfam.